Molecule: non-coding RNA, 23 nt
Filed under: Arabidopsis thaliana (thale cress)
Lineage: Eukaryota; Viridiplantae; Streptophyta; Magnoliopsida; Brassicales; Brassicaceae
Source: RNAcentral
UCUGCCAAAUCUUCUCUUGAACA